UUCUGUGCGCACCAAAUGUUAUUUGAAGUAAUUCUACAACACAUCCCUGAAAACAAUAACAUAGUUUCCUUGGAAAAAAUGUAAUCUAAGAGUUUCUGCCACUUUUGGAACAUGAAUCUUAGUUACUAUCAGUCUAUAACCUCAAGAAAAUUCUCUAUGUUACAAGAAAUGGCUCUCCCAAAAAAGGAAUCAGAAGAGCAAAAGAGGUCAUAAAAACACACCAUUAAUCAUGAUCCAGUCUCACCAAUAAGGAUAUCCUUAUAAGGAGUAGGAACAUGUAAUGUAACUUUGGUUUCUUCAACUGGAUGGCUUCUUGUCUGAUCAUGAUGUUCCUCAAUCAAGGGAACCUGUCCUUCCCUAGCAUUUACCAGUCGCUCGUGCGCACCCGCCUUGCAGUUUCUCCAGCCUCAGUCCAUUCAUUUGUUGCAUCUUGAACACUUUGAUUACAUUUGUCAACCCACCUGCAUCGAAAAUAAUGGUUGGAUCUAUUUACUUAUCAUAAUGCCGAAUAACAAGUGUUCUCCAACUUAAUAGUUAAUUCACAUCAAUGUCUAACCUAAAGCUAAAAGGUUUCUCAAUCACAUUGCCUUCAAAUUCAUUUUGCAUGUAUAUAUACAUGGAAAGCAUGGUACCAAGAUUUGUUUCCCUUUAAAUGCUAAGUACCACUAUUAUACAUAAAUGUCAAUCAAAGACACAAUAUGGGACGGAUUAUGUAUAAAAAGGGCGACCCAAUACAUGAGGCUCUCACUUAGUGGAGUCUGAGAAUGAUAG
RNAcentral lists this long non-coding RNA (771 nucleotides) under Lupinus angustifolius (narrow-leaved blue lupine). RNAcentral describes it as "long non-coding RNA (LANG_LNC002341)". Lineage: Eukaryota; Viridiplantae; Streptophyta; Magnoliopsida; Fabales; Fabaceae. The record is from RNAcentral.